RNAcentral lists this ribosomal RNA (593 nucleotides) under Notodoma fungorum. RNAcentral's name for it is "eukaryotic LSU rRNA". The record is from RNAcentral. Lineage: Eukaryota; Metazoa; Arthropoda; Insecta; Coleoptera; Histeridae.
UUCGAAAGGAGAGAUUCACCGCGACUCGUGUCGUCGGCGAGGGCGCGUACGGACGUCGGUCGGACUUCGGUCCGAUUGCGCCGCACGCGUUCCGUCUGGACGUGCGAUCGCGUGCACUUCUCUCCCUGUAGGACGUCGCGACCCGUUGGGCGUCGGUCUACGAGCGACGGUGAAGUCCGUCGGGCGAUCUCACGAUCUUGUCCCGACGAGCCCGUCGUCUCCGGCCGACUCGCUCGACGGUAGUCAUUUUGAGCGCGGGGCCGCGACCUAGUUCGCGUCGAUCUCGCGUCCCGGCCCGGAUCCGGGCUACUGUUCGCGGGGUGUUCUCGGACGACUCCUAUACACGCUCGUCAGCGACGCUAUCGCUUUGGGUACUUUCAGGACCCGUCUUGAAACACGGACCAGGAGUCUAGCAUGCACGCGAGUCUUAGGACUCUUUAACUAAUCCUAAAGGCAAAAUGAAAGUGAAGGUCCGCCUUUGCGCGCGACCUAGGGAAGAUGAGUCGACGUAGCCGCAAGGUGACCGUCGGCUCCGCACUCCCGGGGCGUCUCGAUCUCAUCGCGAGAUGAGGCGCACCCAGAGCGUACACCCU